AAACGCCCAACUUUCGAGAUGAUUUUUUGACCUCAGGCCUAGUUACUCAAUCAUCAUCAUCCUCACCAUCACCACCCUCAACCUCAUCCUCCUCGGAGAGUGCCCAGAGGGUAUGACUGCACAGUUGCUUCCUGAGACUCCAACCAUUGGCCACCAAGCUGCUCCACUUUGCUCCAGCUGAUAACAUCAUGUCUGGUUUGGACCGGGCAAGGCUCAAGCAUGCCAGGUUCUGGUACUUCUCCAACCUCACUUCCUGUCCCAUUCAGAUUGUUUUCUCCUGAGGUGCAAGAUUCAACAGUACAUUACUUACGCCUCAUUCUGCAGCAUUUGGAAAAAGCAGUUAGCAUGAGUUUUUUUCAACUAUCCCCAAAUGAAGACUCAAGCAAUAAGAAAUACCUCCAGGGCAUAAUCCUUCCUUCAGAACCAUUUAUCAUCUUUGAUGAAGUGAACCCUGACAAGGGUAAAAAUGAAGAGCCUUUGGUUACUGAUCCUAAUAAUUCAGAUGCAUAUUCUGAAGUACUGUUGGACCCUAAUAAACUGUAUAAUGUACUGCAGAAGGCAAAGCAGCAUAAAUUUCGUCAAGAAUUCGUCUUGUUAAGUGAACUUAUAGAUCUGUUGUUCAGUCCUCGGGAGCUGGCAGAAGCCUAUGGAUUGGGCCUGAAAGGGAAGGAUGCAAGAAAAUGGACUCUUGACAAAGUUAAAAUGUCAGCUUGUGAAGAAUAUAUGAGGUACAUUUGCUCUACAGAAGGUUGGAAAGUACCAAGUCAGAAGGAUUUCCAUAAAAUUUUCACAACAAAGAUAGAAAAUGCCCGGUGGAAUCUAAAACACAGCAUAUAGAAAACCUCCUGAAGAUGCACCCUUCUUUCUUCCCAUCAUUCUACUCUGUAACACGUUAGCCCAAAAGAAAUUUAGAUAAUUAAAUAAAAGGAAGGUUCCAGGCUGUAAUUUCAUACUCUGCAAAUAGAAAGACAAAUGUAUACUCUCUCAAAUAUUCUAUAAUAUGAUCCAAAAUGUACACGCAUAAGACAAGUCAUAUAGCCUCCUGAGUCAACAUUUCCUUAUAACAUCGUUAAUAAAGUUCAACCAUACUUAAUGUGAUAUAAUAUCUAAGAGUACUAACCUUGGAAAUCAGGAAGAUCUGAAUUCAAGUUCUCCCUCUCCCUUUCACACAAGUUGUGUGACACUGGGCAACUGUCUUAAGCUUUUAGGGACAAGGCAAUUUGUCACUAUACUAUGUCAUUUAGUGAUUUCAUCAGAUCUCAUGGAUUCAAUUAUCAUGUCUAUGCAGACUUUAUCUAGUCCUACUUUCUCCUUCACCUUCAAUUUUGUAUUUUCAACCACCUAUUGGAUAUAUCAAAAUGAUUGCCACAUACAC
RNAcentral lists this long non-coding RNA (1375 nucleotides) under Sarcophilus harrisii (Tasmanian devil). Its description in RNAcentral is "lncRNA (ENSSHAG00000024525.1)". The record is from RNAcentral. Lineage: Eukaryota; Metazoa; Chordata; Mammalia; Dasyuromorphia; Dasyuridae.